GCGAGUUAAUUACAAACUCCAAACCCAUGUGAACAUACCUACUGUUGCCUCGGCAGGCCGUGCUGCGCGGCUGGAUCGCCUCCCCCGCGUGGGCAGCUACCCUGGAGUAGCUACCCUGUAGCGGGAGCGGCCCGCCCCGCGGCGCGCCAACAGGCCUGCCGAAGGACCCCUAAACUCUGUUUCGCACCUGUAUCUCUGAGUUUAUUAUACAAAUAAGUUA
This 220-nucleotide unclassified non-coding RNA is filed under the name soil metagenome. RNAcentral's name for it is "partial internal transcribed spacer 1". The record is from RNAcentral.